GCCAGGCAUCAUGGCACAUGCCUGUAAUCCCAAAGGUUUGGGAGGCUGAGGCAGGAGGAUCGUGAGUUCAAAGCAGCCUCAGCAAAAGUGAGGCACUAAGCAACUCAGUGAGACCCUGUCUCUA
RNAcentral lists this small RNA (124 nucleotides) under Marmota monax (woodchuck). Lineage: Eukaryota; Metazoa; Chordata; Mammalia; Rodentia; Sciuridae. The record is from RNAcentral.